GACGAACGCUGGCGGCGUGCCUAAUACAUGCAAGUAGAACGCACAGUUUAUACCGUAGCUUGCUACACCAUAGACUGUGAGUUGCGAACGGGUGAGUAACGCGUAGGUAACCUGCCUGGUAGCGGGGGAUAACUAUUGGAAACGAUAGCUAAUACCGCAUAAUAUUAAUUAUUGCAUGAUAAUUAAUUGAAAGGUGCAAUUGCACCACUACCAGAUGGACCUGCGUUGUAUUAGCUAGUAGGUGAGGUAACGGCUCACCUAGGCGACGAUACAUAGCCGACCUGAGAGGGUGAUCGGCCACACUGGGACUGAGACACGGCCCAGACUCCUACGGGAGGCAGCAGUAGGGAAUAUUCGGCAAUGGACGAAAGUCUGACCGAGCAACGCCGCGUGAGUGAAGAAGGUUUUCGGAUCGUAAAGCUCUGUUGUAAGAGAAGAACGGGUGUGAGAGUGGAAAGUUCAAACUGUGACGGUAUCUUACCAGAAAGGGACGGCUAACUACGUG
RNAcentral lists this ribosomal RNA (505 nucleotides) under uncultured bacterium. Its description in RNAcentral is "partial 16S ribosomal RNA". It matches the Rfam family "Bacterial small subunit ribosomal RNA", at positions 28 to 507 of the family's 1533-position model. The record is from RNAcentral.